RNAcentral lists this ribosomal RNA (762 nucleotides) under Rhabdodemania sp. TJP-2010. Its description in RNAcentral is "eukaryotic LSU rRNA". It matches the Rfam family "Eukaryotic large subunit ribosomal RNA", at positions 367 to 947 of the family's 3401-position model. Lineage: Eukaryota; Metazoa; Nematoda; Enoplea; Triplonchida; Rhabdodemaniidae. The record is from RNAcentral.
CAAAGAACUUUGAAGAGAGAGUUCAACAGGGCGUGAAACCGAUCAGAAGCAAACGAAUAGAGCUGUUUUGUAGUCGGCAGGAUUCAGCUCGCUAUGCAAGAGGAGCAUUGCAUGUUUUCGCGAGAUAAUGUGUUGUGGAACCUCAGGCUGGUGGGUGCAUUUCCUGUUUGAUGGCGCCACGACCGAUUGUAUGUGCUGGCAAAAGUAUUAUUGGAUGAGGGCCCUUAGCUUGCUUUGGGUAACCAGCCAGUUAAUAUGAGUCCCUGUUGCAGCAAUCGAGUAUAGAACUGCCCCCGAUUGUCGCGGCACAGUUGGACAUUAAGCUUAAGUGGUGUUGCGUUGUUCUGCAUGCAGAGUGCGUAGCGCUGCUGAGUGUCGAACUGUUGCGGAGAUGGGGCACAAUGUUCUGUGGCGUCCGUGUCAGCCGUCUAUUCGACCCGUCUUGAAACACGGACCAAGGAGUCUAACAUGUGCGCGAGUUGUUGAGGAGGAAUCUCGCAGGCGAAAUGAAAGUGAAGGCCGGUCUUGACCGGACUAGGUGUGAUGUGUGACGUGAUUGCGUUGCAUCGCAACACUACCCCGUCUUGUCUGCUUGACAGUAAGGCGGAGAAAAAGCGUACACGUUAGGACCCGAAAGAUGGUGAACUAUGCCUGAGCAGAAUGAAGUCAGAGGAAACUCUGAUGGAAGUCCGUAGCGGUUCUGACGUGCAAAUCGAUCGUCAGACUUGGGUAUAGGGGCGAAAGACUAAUCGAACCGUCUAG